Molecule: ribosomal RNA, 1345 nt
Filed under: uncultured bacterium
Lineage: Bacteria
Description: bacterial SSU rRNA
Rfam family: Bacterial small subunit ribosomal RNA
Source: RNAcentral
GAUGAACGCUAGCGGGAGGCCUAACACAUGCAAGCCGAGCGGUAGAGAUCUUUCGGGAUCUUGAGAGCGGCGUACGGGUGCGGAACACGUGUGCAACCUGCCUUUAUCUGGGGGAUAGCCUUUCGAAAGGAAGAUUAAUACCCCAUAAUAUGUUGGAUGGCAUCAUUCGACAUUGAAAACUCCGGUGGAUAGAGAUGGGCACGCGCAAGAUUAGAUAGUUGGUGAGGUAACGGCUCACCAAGUCUGCGAUCUUUAGGGGGCCUGAGAGGGUGAUCCCCCACACUGGUACUGAGACACGGACCAGACUCCUACGGGAGGCAGCAGUGAGGAAUAUUGGACAAUGGGUGAGAGCCUGAUCCAGCCAUCCCGCGUGAAGGACGACGGCCCUAUGGGUUGUAAACUUCUUUUGUAUAGGGAUAAACCUACUCUCGUGAGAGUAGCUGAAGGUACUAUACGAAUAAGCACCGGCUAACUCCGUGCCAGCAGCCGCGGUAAUACGGAGGGUGCAAGCGUUAUCCGGAUUUAUUGGGUUUAAAGGGUCCGUAGGCGGAUCUGUAAGUCAGUGGUGAAAUCUCACAGCUUAACUGUGAAACUGCCAUUGAUACUGCAGGUCUUGAGUGUUGUUGAAGUGGCUGGAAUAAGUAGUGUAGCGGUGAAAUGCAUAGAUAUUACUUAGAACACCAAUUGCGAAGGCAGGUUACUAAGCAACAACUGACGCUGAUGGACGAAAGCGUGGGGAGCGAACAGGAUUAGAUACCCUGGUAGUCCACGCCGUAAACGAUGCUAACUCGUUUUUGGGCUUUCGGGUUCAGAGACUAAGCGAAAGUGAUAAGUUAGCCACCUGGGGAGUACGAACGCAAGUUUGAAACUCAAAGGAAUUGACGGGGGCCCGCACAAGCGGUGGAUUAUGUGGUUUAAUUCGAUGAUACGCGAGGAACCUUACCAAGGCUUAAAUGGGAAAUGACAGGUUUAGAAAUAGACUUUUCUUCGGACAUUUUUCAAGGUGCUGCAUGGUUGUCGUCAGCUCGUGCCGUGAGGUGUUAGGUUAAGUCCUGCAACGAGCGCAACCCCUGUCACUAGUUGCCAUCAUUAAGUUGGGGACUCUAGUGAGACUGCCUACGCAAGUAGAGAGGAAGGUGGGGAUGACGUCAAAUCAUCACGGCCCUUACGCCUUGGGCCACACACGUAAUACAAUGGCCGGUACAGAGGGCAGCUACACAGCGAUGUGAUGCAAAUCUCGAAAGCCGGUCUCAGUUCGGAUUGGAGUCUGCAACUCGACUCUAUGAAGCUGGAAUCGCUAGUAAUCGCGCAUCAGCCAUGGCGCGGUGAAUACGUUCCCGGGCCU